GACGAACGCUGGCGGCGUGCCUAAUACAUGCAAGUAGAACGCUGAAGGAGGAGCUUGCUUCUCUGGAUGAGUUGCGAACGGGUGAGUAACGCGUAGGUAACCAGCCUGGUAGCGGGGGAUAACUAUUGGAAACGAUAGCUAAUACCGCAUAAGAGUAGAUGUUGCAUGACAUUUGCUUAAAAGGUGCAAUUGCAUCACUACCAGAUGGACCUGCGUUGUAUUAGCUAGUUGGUGGGGUAACGGCUCACCAAGGCGACGAUACAUAGCCGACCUGAGAGGGUGAUCGGCCACACUGGGACUGAGACACGGCCCAGACUCCUACGGGAGGCAGCAGUAGGGAAUCUUCGGCAAUGGACGGAAGUCUGACCGAGCAACGCCGCGUGAGUGAAGAAGGGUUUCGGAUCGUAAAGCUCUGUUGUAAGAGAAGAACGAGUGUGAGAGUGGAAAGUUCACACUGUGACGGUAUCUUACCAGAAAGGGACGGCUAACUACGUG
This 495-nucleotide ribosomal RNA is filed under the name uncultured bacterium. RNAcentral's name for it is "partial 16S ribosomal RNA". It matches the Rfam family "Bacterial small subunit ribosomal RNA", at positions 28 to 507 of the family's 1533-position model. The record is from RNAcentral.